AUACGAAAGGUGCAAGCGUUGUUCGGAUUUACUGGGCGUAAAGAGAGUGUAGGUGGUUUAUUAAGUCGGAUGUGAAAUCCCGGGGCUCAACCUCGGAACUGCAUUCGAUACUGAUAGGCUAGAGUUUGGGAGGGGUAAGCGGAAUUCCGUGUGUAGCAGUGAAAUGCGUAGAUAUACGGAGGAACACCUGAGGCGAAGGCGGCUUACUGGACCAAUACUGACACUGAGACUCGAAAGCGUGGGUAGCAAACAGGAUUAGAUACCCCAGUAGUCC
This 274-nucleotide ribosomal RNA is filed under the name uncultured bacterium. RNAcentral describes it as "partial 16S ribosomal RNA". It matches the Rfam family "Bacterial small subunit ribosomal RNA", at positions 523 to 796 of the family's 1533-position model. The record is from RNAcentral.